Molecule: long non-coding RNA, 329 nt
Organism: Grus americana (Whooping crane)
Lineage: Eukaryota; Metazoa; Chordata; Aves; Gruiformes; Gruidae
Exons: 3
Source: RefSeq, a predicted model, not a curated record
CGAUUGUGACGGUAACAGCGAGCAACUCUCUGCAGACUGCUGUCUUGAACAGACUGAGGUACUACCAGAAGCCCAGGAUAACUGUAUUGACAAAAAGAGAGUUACUACUGUUGUCAGCUGACUAUACCUGAGGUGUCAGUGCAGCGUGGAGAGAAAAGCUGUCAGACUUUGAUCACUACUCAUUCCCAGUCACAACAUCUGGAAAGCAGCAGGAAGACUGCAAUUUCUUCUUGAAGAUAUUAUUUCAUAUAUUGGAAUGGAAGCAUAAUAGGAUAGCCUUAUCAACGAACAUGGAAAAAAAUGUUUUACUAUUACCAGAGAUGUCAUCA